UACGUAGGUGGCAAGCGUUGUCCGGAUUUACUGGGCGUAAAGAGCGCGCAGGCGGUUGGAUAAGUCGAAUGUGAAAGCCCCCGGCUCAACUGGGGAGGGUCAUUCGAUACUGUCCGACUCGAAGGCAGGAGAGGGAAGCGGAAUUCCCGGUGUAGUGGUGAAAUGCGUAGAUAUCAGGAGGAACACCGAUGGCGAAGGCAGCUCGCUGGGACGGUACUGACGCUGAGGCGCGAAAGCCAGGGGAGCGAACGGG
Molecule: ribosomal RNA, 253 nt
Filed under: uncultured bacterium
Lineage: Bacteria
Description: partial 16S ribosomal RNA
Rfam family: Bacterial small subunit ribosomal RNA
Source: RNAcentral